RNAcentral lists this ribosomal RNA (572 nucleotides) under uncultured bacterium. RNAcentral's name for it is "partial 16S ribosomal RNA". It matches the Rfam family "Bacterial small subunit ribosomal RNA", at positions 355 to 932 of the family's 1533-position model. The record is from RNAcentral.
UGAGGAAUAUUGGUCAAUGGGCGAGAGCCUGAACCAGCCAAAUCGCGUGAAGGAAGACUGCCUUAUGGGUUGUAAACUUCUUUUAUACAGGAAUAAAAAAGGGGACGUGUCCCUUAUUGCAUGUACUGUAUGAAUAAGCAUCGGCUAACUCCGUGCCAGCAGCCGCGGUAAUACGGAGGAUGCGAGCGUUAUCCGGAUUUAUUGGGUUUAAAGGGUGCGCAGGCGGGCUUUUAAGUCAGCGGUGAAAUCUCGGGCUUAACUCCGAAACUGCCGUUGAAACUGGGAGUCUUGAGUAUGGAUGAAGUAGGCGGAAUUCGUUGUGUAGCGGUGACAUGCUUAGAUAUAACGAGGAACUCCGAUUGCGUAGGCAGCUUACUAAGCCAUAACUGACGCUCAAGCACGAAAGCGUGGGGAUCAAAACAGGAUUAGAUACCCUGGUAGUCCACGCCGUAAAACGAUGAUUACUAGUUGUAUGCGAUAUACCGUAUGUGACUAAGCGAAAGCGAUAAGUAAUCCACCUGGGGAGUACGCCGGCAACGGUGAAACUUAAAUGAUUGACGGGGUCAUAGCUG